UACGGAGGGGGCUAGCGUUGUUCGGAAUUACUGGGCGUAAAGCGCACGUAGGCGGCUUUGUAAGUUCGAGGUGAAAGCCUGGUGCUCAACACCAGAACUGCCUUUAAGACUGCAUCGCUUGAAUCAUGGAGAGGCGGGUGGAAUUCCGAGUGUAGAGGUGAAAUUCGUAGAUAUUCGGAAGAACACCAGUGGCGAAGGCGGCCCGCUGGACAUGUAUUGACGCUGAGGUGCGAAAGCGUGGGGAGCAAACAGG
RNAcentral lists this ribosomal RNA (253 nucleotides) under uncultured bacterium. Its description in RNAcentral is "partial 16S ribosomal RNA". It matches the Rfam family "Bacterial small subunit ribosomal RNA", at positions 524 to 776 of the family's 1533-position model. The record is from RNAcentral.